RNAcentral lists this ribosomal RNA (403 nucleotides) under uncultured bacterium. Its description in RNAcentral is "bacterial SSU rRNA". It matches the Rfam family "Bacterial small subunit ribosomal RNA", at positions 356 to 773 of the family's 1533-position model. The record is from RNAcentral.
AGGGAAUCUUCCGCAAUGGGCGAAAGCCUGACGGAGCAACGCCGCGUGAGUGAAGACGGCCUUCGGGUUGUAAAACUCUGUUCUUGGGGAAGAAGAAAGUGACGGUACCCAAGGAGAAAGCCCCGGCUAACUACGUGCCAGCAGCCGCGGUAAUACGUAGGGGGCGAGCGUUAUCCGGAUUUAUUGGGCGUAAAGCGCGCGCAGGCGGUCAGGUAAGUCGGAUGUGAAAGGCUACGGCUCAACCGUAGAGCGGCAUCCGAAACUGCUUGACUUGAGUGCAGGAGAGGAGAGUGGAAUUCCCGGUGUAGCGGUGGAAUGCGUAGAGAUCGGGAGGAACACCAGUGGCGAAGGCGACUCUCUGGACUGUAACUGACGCUGAGGCGCGAAAGUGUGGGGAGCAAAC